GGGCUCGUAGCUCAGUGGUAGAGUACUGCCUUCGCGAGGCAGAUGCCGCGGGUUCGAAUCCCGCCGAGUCCA
The sequence is a transfer RNA, 72 nucleotides long. It matches the Rfam family "tRNA". Rfam says of the family: Transfer RNA (tRNA) molecules are approximately 80 nucleotides in length. Their secondary structure includes four short double-helical elements and three loops (D, anti-codon, and T loops). Further hydrogen bonds mediate the characteristic L-shaped molecular structure. tRNAs have two regions of fundamental functional importance: the anti-codon, which is responsible for specific mRNA codon recognition, and the 3' end, to which the tRNAs corresponding amino acid is attached (by aminoacyl-tRNA synthetases). tRNAs cope with the degeneracy of the genetic code in two manners: having more than one tRNA (with a specific anti-codon) for a particular amino acid; and 'wobble' base-pairing, i.e. permitting non-standard base-pairing at the 3rd anti-codon position. The record is from Rfam.